RNAcentral lists this ribosomal RNA (462 nucleotides) under Streptococcus sp. oral taxon C08. RNAcentral describes it as "bacterial SSU rRNA". It matches the Rfam family "Bacterial small subunit ribosomal RNA", at positions 28 to 472 of the family's 1533-position model. Lineage: Bacteria; Bacillati; Bacillota; Bacilli; Lactobacillales; Streptococcaceae. The record is from RNAcentral.
GACGAACGCUGGCGGCGUGCCUAAUACAUGCAAGUAGAACGCUGAAGCUUGGUGCUUGCACCGAGCGGAUGAGUUGCGAACGGGUGAGUAACGCGUAGGUAACCUGCCUGGUAGCGGGGGAUAACUAUUGGAAACGAUAGCUAAUACCGCAUAAGAGUAGAUGUUGCAUGACAUUUGCUUAAAAGGUGCGAUUGCAUCACUACCAGAUGGACCUGCGUUGUAUUAGCUAGUUGGUGAGGUAACGGCUCACCAAGGCAACGAUACAUAGCCGACCUGAGAGGGUGAUCGGCCACACUGGGACUGAGACACGGCCCAGACUCCUACGGGAGGCAGCAGUAGGGAAUCUUCGGCAAUGGACGGAAGUCUGACCGAGCAACGCCGCGUGAGUGAAGAAGGUUUUCGGAUCGUAAAGCUCUGUUGUAAGAGAAGAACGAGUGUGAGAGUGGAAAGUUCACACUGUGA